UCACUGAUCAACAGCACACUGGUUUGUCU
RNAcentral lists this non-coding RNA (29 nucleotides) under Mus musculus (house mouse). Lineage: Eukaryota; Metazoa; Chordata; Mammalia; Rodentia; Muridae. The record is from RNAcentral.